AGAAAUCCCAGGGUCGACCGAUGACGACCAGUGAGUAUUAGACACAGCAGAUCAGAUUCGCCUGCGGGCGAUUGAGGCCAUAAAUAUCCUCCUCGGAUAGUUGUACUGAACUUAAAUGGCAUUUUGAAUGCCUUUUAUAACAUUGGCACUUCUCAACGUUUCCAUCUUAAAUGCGAAUCUGAACGGCUUUCUCCGCAGCUUUUGACUCAACGGUCGCUUGCUUUAAAUCCCUUCUUUUACUAACCAUUGCCCGUCAUCCUCCCGUUCUAUAAAUACGAGACAUUCGCAUCCUCUCUAGAGGCAUUCGCACAGCACCCAUUAGAUUCGCCCCUUGUAGGCGUUCCCAAAUCCACAAUCAGGCACCCAAAUGGCUUCUUCCUCCUCCGUCAAUCAGGUACGAAGUUAACUCUUUCACUCUUCGACUGGUUCUUUCUGUUAAUCGGUUGUCCAUUAUCCUUUCAGCCGAACCGGCUUAGCCCCGGUCUCGUACGAGCCAUUGAGAUCAUGCAUUCCGAUGAACCACUAACCCAGGU
RNAcentral lists this long non-coding RNA (533 nucleotides) under Setaria viridis. RNAcentral's name for it is "long non-coding RNA (SVIR_LNC003994)". The record is from RNAcentral. Lineage: Eukaryota; Viridiplantae; Streptophyta; Magnoliopsida; Poales; Poaceae.